Molecule: ribosomal RNA, 447 nt
Filed under: uncultured bacterium
Lineage: Bacteria
Description: partial 16S ribosomal RNA
Rfam family: Bacterial small subunit ribosomal RNA
Source: RNAcentral
UACCAGACUCCUACGGGAGGCAGCAGUGGGGGAUAUUACACAAUGGGGGGAACCCUGAUGCAGCGACGCCGCGUGGGUGAAGGAGCGUUUCGGCGCGUAAAGCCCUAUCGGCAGGGAAGAAGGAGGACGGUACCUGACUAAGAAGCCCCGGCUAACUACGUGCCAGCAGCCGCGGGAAUACGUAGGGGGCAAGCGUUAUCCUGAUUUACUGGGUGUAAAGGGAGCGUAGACGGCAGCGCAAGUCUGAAGUGAAGUGCCGGGGCUUAACCCCGGAACUGCUUUGGAAACUGAGCAGCUAGAGUGCAGGAGAGGUAAGUGGAAUUCCUAGUGUAGCGGUGAAAUGCGUAGAUAUUAGGAGGAACACCGGUGGCGAAGGCGGCCUGCUGGACUGUAACUGACGUUGAGGCUCGAAAGCGUGGGGAGCAAACAGGAUUAGAUACCCGAGUA